Onychomys torridus (southern grasshopper mouse) is the source of this 1471-nucleotide long non-coding RNA. RefSeq lists it as uncharacterized. The transcript has 3 exons. The record is from RefSeq and is a predicted model, not a curated record. NCBI's taxonomy places the organism in Eukaryota, Metazoa, Chordata, Mammalia, Rodentia, Cricetidae.
GCUCUCCAACUACAGUCUAUUCUCCAUAAUCAUUACAAGAACUGGCUUAAAAGAACAAGAAUUAUAUUUAAUCAGGGCUGAAGUGCUUGGUUUUGCACAAGCUUUAUCUAAAUAUCACACAGUCGCUAUAGUACCAGACAGAUCCUUCUGGGCAUUCAGUAACCCCAUGCAGAGGCUAUACUACCGUGGUCAGAGUGACGAAAAGGCAGAAUCUUUCCACCUUGCCCUCCAAAGUCAAUUAGGUUUUGGGAUUGUAGGGUGUCUCUCAAAUGUUAACUGUGGAGAGUCUCCUAUUCCUUUGUUCAGGACUAUGGACACCCCACAUGGUGAGCUCUACCCAGUGUCCAGUCUACAAAAAGGAGGGUUAAUACAGAGGAAAAAUGUGUUCCAUGCUUCCAAGCAAAGCCCUUGACUUGUUCUCACAUAGAUGGAAAAACUAGUACAAGGAGCCUAGAGGAGCCAGAGGUUCCUCUCAAGCCUGUGACCCCUGGGGAGCAGAUCCCCAAUGGUCUUGACAGUGAAACGAACAAAAAAUAUGAUUGACUGUGGCCCACCAAUUGUCCUGAACACCCAGCAGGAACGUAUAGCCAAGAAAUAGGAUGUCAGCAUGUCUCUUUAACAGUUUAAGGCAGUAGUUCUCAACCUGUGGGUCGCAACCAUUGGAAAAUACUUAUUUCAGAUGGUCUUAGGAACCAUGACACCGCUCAGUAGCAAAAUUAGUUAUGAAGUAGCAAUGAAAAUAAAUUUAUGGUUGGAGGGUCCUAAGACCAUUGGGGAUGUGUUUCCUGGUGGUCAUGACCCACAGGUUGAAAGCCGCUGGCUUAAGGGCAUCACACUUACUGCACAUUAGGCUUAGGUCCAUAUGAGAUGUUUACACUGUUUCUAACAACUUUCUUUUUACUAAGAAAAAUGUUGCCAUGAUAGAGCACCACACUCUUGCCUGAAGUCCUCCAUUCAAUACUGCAACACUCACCUGUAGCCAAGAGGCAGGUCUGAAUAAGAAAAAACUAGAAAAGAUCCAAUGACAGUUAAAUUUCUUAUUUCUGCCUCUCUAGAAGCUGCCUGGGAGGGACCUCAAAGUGAGUCUAUCCACUCCGACAGCCCUGAAAUGCCUGAAAACAGAUCCUGGGCUUACCACUCUGGGCCAGGCAUGGAUGUGGGACUUUCCUGGGAAUGGUUGCUCUACAAUGUAGGGAUGCCAGAGUGCAGGAAUGCCAGCCCCUCCAGUGACCCCAAUCUACAGCUGAUGCAACAGGGUCCUCUCCACAGCAACCACACUGAAGAAAUGCUGGGUAGAUGCACGGCUGAGGAACACGACGCAAGGCCACAGCAUUCUUCCACUCUGAAGCAAGGGAACCAAUUCCUUCAAGUUUGAUGUUGCUGUACCAACUACCUGAGGGGGCAUUAUGGACCACCAGAAGACAAGACAAAAAUUGGGAUUCUUUUUUUUUCUUUGAGACAGGGUCUCUCU